UCCAAAUGCAAGAUGCCCAUAUUUUGCUUCGUUCCAGAAACAACACAUUAUAGUAUUAGUUAUGUAUGGACCGAAACACGGUUUUUACAAUAAAUGUAUUGAUGCAGUCGGUCGUGUGACGCAUUUGAACCCACGGCAGCGAUAUGUGUAUGAAUGUUAAAUCUGAAGUCCAGUCGGGACAUAACAGCCUCGGGCCAGAUAAAACACCAGAGAAGAAUGCCACGGUGCGCUGAAGGGCAUGGAGUGUAGCUGCAUGGCAGAGGGGGGGUCUGGGCCGAUACCGGGGGGCUCCAACAGCUUGGCCAGGUGCCAGGAGUGGGGUCUGAUAACCGUCUUUUCAGUGCCUGCCUGUGACCCGAGAGAGAGACUGGAGCAGAACUUCGAGAGAGUCUGAGAUCGAUGGUUCACUGUCACCAGUCUGACCGUUCUGGGCAGGAGUGAGCUCGGACCACUGUGUUCUCAUACUCCCGCGGUCCUGGCGGUCCCCCUCUCGGUGACGCUGAAGGAAGGAAGCCCGCCUCAGACGGGGAGGAAGCAAUGCUGGGCGGAGAUAAAGGCUCUACACACAGACCCACCCCAAGACUCACUGAAAGACAAAUACCCCCCUGAGGAAGAAAAGCUGAACCGGAAAGAAACCCCCCUAUGCUCUUGUACUGGAUAAGCAGUUGGAUGGAUGAACAAAAGAAACACUAAGGGAGAAAACCAAGGCUCUGGAGCAGGUGUGCAGAUCAGUGUGAGGCUGACCAUGGUUACGUCGCUCCCAUAGCCGUCACAGCCUCUCCAUCUGAGUACAGCGUGAGACAGAGAGACUGGAGCUGGCCUGACCCCUCACAGGGUGAGAACGCUGAGGCUCUCACGCUUUCCACCAUCUGUGUCCAUCGAAGCCACCGCCAAAGAUCCCAGACACCAUUGCACAAGGCUUGGCACAGAGCAGGCCGGCAUUGCGCGGCCUUCCACCCUCCACACCCAACCAUUCUGAGCAGAGAAGUCUCCCAUAUGCCUUCCUUCGUUUACACUUACCCCCGUUUUCUCUGGCUCCUUGAAUUAGUCAAAUUCAUAGAGGCCACCGGCCAGAUGGCCGGAUUGCGGCCACAUUGUGACCAUCACACCAGGCAAGGCGACAUAGUGGAGCUCUCCUGAUUCUCAGCUCUGGAAGAGAGACCUCAAAAGGCCAGCAAGAGCGAGCCCGUGGACCCCUACCACACCAGCUCCAGCUGGGAGGCCUAUACAGAAGGAAGUAGAAGAACUUCAUGUGCGAGAAAGGUCCAGGUCUCGAGUCGUUGGGAUUCCCCAAUGGGCCAUGAAGUUCCAACCUCUCAGCUCUGCUACUGGGGGUCUGGGAGCUCGGAGGCCACCUGUAGGAGGAUGCAGCUGACAGGGAGUGGAUUGGGGAAAGGACUUGGACAGAUUCAGCGGGGGAGUCGAGGCAGUCCCAGACCAGCACCCUCUCUUCCCAUGAUGCUCUCCUGGCAUGGGGCCCUCCGACAGCCGUGACGGGAGGAAUGCAUGUAAUGGAGAAGUAUUGCACAAUUUAUAACUGCAAUUAUAGACUGACAUGGGCUGCCCCCUCCCCCUAUCUGACAGCCAUGUGGAACAUCCCAGACUGCGUGACUUCCCCCUCCUCAGCCAUGCGAGACCAGCUGGACACCGGCCGGCCCUUCUGUGAUUCUAGUAUCCCCUGUGUGUUAGCGAUGGUACCGUCCCUCAGAGGAUGAGUCUCUCUCCUCAAGCCACUACAGGCCGAACCUUGCACACCCCCUCCCCAGGGAUUUAGGAUAAGCCAGUUUGCUCAGGUAAAUUGCUGGAAGUUCCUGGGUUAUUCCACACGGUCAGAUGCAGAGGGCUGAGCUCGAGGCUGUUAGUUCCCAACAAAGCCUUUAUCUCCACAGCAUCCCCAAGAAUCACAAUGGGACCUCAGGUGGCCUCGGCAGUAGCACAAAUUGCUGAAUCUCAGGUCAUUUCAUCUUCUAGGAAAAGGAUAGAAAGAAUAAAUAGAGAGCCAGGAAAAACGGCGUAGCUUCAGAGCUCCCUGCCGGCCAUUCUGACUGACUUUUUCCCCCAAGGCCGUGACUUAAUGGAACGUGAGCCUCGUUAAUUCCGUCUCCCUUGGCUUCCACGUUUAUUCACAGCACGGGGGCCGAGGGCCAACUCCUGGCACGCUUCAGUAAACCCAGGGGAGCUGUAGCUGGAUGGGGCCCCGCGUCAGAGAGCGCUAUGGAACCCUGGUGGGUGGGACUUACGCGAGUCCGCGGUGUCAGACUAGGCUUGAGCGAAUGGUGAACCAGCAGGGUCGACCAAUAAGGAGAGAAUGUGUCAGUGAUUGAUAGCACAUGAUAAUACAAAGACUGGUUUCUUCCAAUGGUGACUCUAAGGCUCUGUGUGCAGAACUGCCAUUUAGUUGUCCAAGGGCUUUUUUUUGUGUAGUUUCAUGGGCAGAGAAAGAGGGAAAUACCCUCUUUCUUAGCUUGUUGCUGGUGCCACACCCGUGUUCCACUGGACCUCUCCACGUCCUGCUCCAGGCCUGGCGCUGGUCCGGGUGCCCGACCCCGAUCCCCGGUGAGCAGCCACCGCCGCCUCACAAUGAGGUCCUUGUGUGGCUGGGAAUGCUGCCCCCCCCCCCUCAGCACGCUCCCUAAGGAACAACUGCUCAUUAGGAACCAAAAAAUAAUAAUAAAAAAACUCCACCUUGAUCCUUUAAAUAGAACUGGGCAUGAUAUUUAUGCUGCCUAUUUUUAAUUAGCCUCCAUUAUACAAGGAGCCUUGGAGAAAUGCCUGUUUGGUUGGGAGGGGGAAUUGCAGAAUUAAUUCCCCCUUUACUUUGUCUCCAAUUCAUCAGCAAGAUGAAACAAACUCUUGGAGCGUCUGGGAGAGAUGUAAAAAUAAACCACCCAAUUACCAGA
This is a long non-coding RNA of Paramormyrops kingsleyae, 2900 nucleotides long. RefSeq lists it as uncharacterized. NCBI's taxonomy places the organism in Eukaryota, Metazoa, Chordata, Actinopteri, Osteoglossiformes, Mormyridae. The record is from RefSeq and is a predicted model, not a curated record.